CCUGCGUMGGCGUACUGAGAACCCGAAGGUCGAAGCGGAGAUUCAACCGCGUACCCGUUAGAUCCGUCGUCCCGAUCGGCCGGCGACUGGCGGGCGCUCCGGCGCCCGCCGCGUACGGUCGGAGGCGCGCGGUCGCGGACGCGUGCAAUUCUCCGCUAGUAGGACGUCGCGACCCGUCGAGUGCCGGUCCACGGCCCGCUCGUGAGCCCGCGCGGCGGACGGCCUCGUGCCGUUCUCGCCCGCGCGGAACGACGCGGUGUCCCGGCCGGCCCGCUCGACGGUGUGCAGUGGCGGUGGGCCGCCGAAAAGGCGUCCGACCCGCCGCAAGCUCGGCGAAACCCCGCGGGCUCGGACCUAGUGUGCAGACCCCGGGGCCGUCCGGCUGUUGGCGGCGGAGUUCUCGGACAGACCCGGAACACGCCCGUCGGCGACGCUAUAGCUUUGGGUACUUUCAGGACCCGUCUUGAAACACGGACCAAGGAGUCUAGCAUGUGCGCGAGUCAUUGGGAUUCGUUGCUAAACCUAAAGGCGAAAUGAAAGUGAAGGCGCGCCUCGCGCGCGCCAAGGGAGGAUGGGCGAGGCUCACGAGGCCGUCGCCCCGCACUCCCGGGGCGUCUCGUUCUCAUCGCGAGAAGAGGCGCACCCAGAGCGUACACGCUGGGACCCGAAUG
Molecule: ribosomal RNA, 671 nt
Filed under: Elateridae sp. CO1077
Lineage: Eukaryota; Metazoa; Arthropoda; Insecta; Coleoptera; Elateridae
Description: eukaryotic LSU rRNA
Rfam family: Eukaryotic large subunit ribosomal RNA (bases 475-671)
Source: RNAcentral